RNAcentral lists this long non-coding RNA (7552 nucleotides) under Lupinus angustifolius (narrow-leaved blue lupine). RNAcentral describes it as "long non-coding RNA (LANG_LNC002170)". Lineage: Eukaryota; Viridiplantae; Streptophyta; Magnoliopsida; Fabales; Fabaceae. The record is from RNAcentral.
UAACUCAGAAUGCAACUCAACAACCAUCAUUAGUGAUUGUAUAUUUUGGUGGUAAUGAUGCAACUAAUCCACGACCAGGUGGAAAUGGUCCUCAUGUACCUCUCGAAGAAUACAAAGAAAACAUGAAAAAGAUUGUUAUCCAUCUUCAGGUAAACUUUCACAUUAGACUCUAACACUUUUUUAUAUUCCAUUAUCAUGUGAAUUAAAUCACUCAUCUAUGCUUACCAACUUUUCUAAACUUUUUGUAAAUUAUAUUUAUCACACUGCAAAAUUUGACACAAAUUCAAAUGAUUUUCAGAGUCUUUCAGAGAAGACUCGGGUUAUAUUUCUCAGUACUCCUCCCAUCAAUGAGGAUCAAAUCUUUGGAGACAGGUUUAGAUUGAAAUUCUUUUGCUAUUUGAUCAAUAUAAUUUCAUAGAAAGAAAAGGUUUAGAGCAUAGUUUAAAUUGUGUUGCAUAAUUGUAAUCAUAGGUGUAAUGUUAUUGAUAUGAGAGUCUCACCAUAGUUUUGUACAAUUAUUAUAAAUACUAUAACUUAAAAUAUAAUGAGAAAAAAAUAUAUGCAGUGACAGUCUAUGAAUUUUAUACGCUAUUAUUAUAUUAUACAUUAUUAUAUUUAAUUAUCAUUGACUCUUCAAAAAAUAAUUCAAACGAAUAUUAGAUGAUAUAGUAAAUAUAUAUAAAUCUUUAUAUUAACAAUAUAUAUAUUACACUCAAACAUAAUUUAAUCAAAAUUGCAAUUUGAAAAUACAUAUAAUAGCAUAACACUAUAGAUAGAUAUCUACAUUAAUGUGUCAUAAUGUACUAUGACACGAACUCUUAGUUUGGAAUACAUAUAAAAAAAUGCACUCAAAUGCAUGUGACAUAUCGUUCUUUAGACUUCAGCUUAAGAGUAAUAGUGAGGCUGAUAAGUAAUAAAAUUGAGUGACAUCAUCUUAAAACCUAGAAACUAGUAUAUGAUAAGUUCAAAGGAUACUAGAAACAACCCUAAACAUGUUAAUUUAUUAAUUAUUUAGAUUUACAUUUUAAUCUAUAAGUUGUUAAAUUUGAACCAGAUAUCCUCCUCAUCAGCGACCAAUGACAAAUGAAUCCCAUCGAAUAUAUUCAGAAGCAGGUUUGGAGGUGAGUCGGGAGUUGAAUAUAAAGGCUAUUGACUUAUGGUCAGCAAUUCAAGAAAGGGAGGAUUGGAAAGAUGUUUCUUUCAGGUAAGUAUGAUAUCAUACUGGAAAAUAACCCAAUUUGAAUUUGACCCUUAAAACAAAAUAUAAAAUAAUAUAAUAGUAGUAAAAACUGUUCACAUUGGGACAAUUCAAAGGUAUAUUGAAAGACUUUAUUUUUAAGAUUUAUCAAGUAAUUAACAAUUCCUUAAUGUGAUUAAGUGUUUUGCUUAUUUCUUAUAGUGAUGGAAUUCAUUUUACUAACGAGGGAAGCAAAGUAGUCUCAAGGGAGAUAUUGAAGGUUCUUAGAGAAGCAGAUUGGAAACCAAGUUUGCAUUGGAGAGAUAUGCCCAUUGAGUUUGAAGAAUAUUAUACUCUUCCAACUGGUCCUGGUGGAGAGCCUACUGAUGAACAAACUCUCGUUUCCCUCCAGGUGUAGAAUGGGAUUGAGACUAAACUUUUGUGCAUUUUUAAAACUUGAUGCAUGCCAAUUUCAUUAAACAUUUAGUAUUGUGCCUAAAUAAAUAUGGUAUGCUUGUUUCAAGUAUUUUCAGUAAUUAAUUUCUCCCUUGUUUUUCACUUUGUGAGUGGUGUCAAUGUGUGACUAUAUUUGUGCUUUCAUUUAGCUUUGUUGAGUUUAUUCAAAUGUAAAAGAGUUUAUUAAGUGGAAAAUGACAAUAAAAUUAAUGUCUUAAGGUUUUAGUUUAAGAUAUGAUGUGUUACUUGUGACUCUCAACUAUUCCCAUAAUCCGGUAACAAUAAAAUUUCCUAAUCACGGUCUCGUCAAACAAGUAAUAUCCAAUCUGAGUAUUGGUUUGUAUUUAGGUUAUCACUCCUUAUACCUAUUUAUUAAAUUCUUUGCUUAUCAAUUUUUUUUUAUAGUUUCUUGCACAACUUAAAUUUUUUAAAGGAAGGAUAGAAGUAGAGAUAAGUGGUAAAUUUAGCUUUACAAAUUAAACUAAUUUCAUGGUUUUCUUCAAGGAUGUUAUCGUUUUUUAAUGGGCAAAAGACAAAAUUUUAUUAAACUUAAAUAAUGGUUUCAAUGUGUUGAAUAGAGAUGGCAAUGGGUGCGAGUAAUGUUUUCACGUUCCUAAAUUCACAAUAUUUGUGAAUAGUGUGUAUUUGCGAGUACUCAACCAGUUUUUAAUUUUAAUUAUAUAUUUAUAUACUUUAUAAUAAUCAAUAUAUAAAAUAAUUAUUACAAGAAUAAUAUGAUAUUUAUAUGAUAAUUUUAUAAUCAUAGUCAAAUAGGUGUAAUUUAUUAUAAAAUGAUAAUAAAAUAUAUGAUAUAUAAUUUUAAAAUAAUAAUAAAAAACUAUAAUAUAUAUAAAAAUUUAAUUUAUUAAUUUGCGGGUAUCGACGAGGCGGGUAUUAUAAAACUCGAUCCCACUCAUGAGUUAUUAUUAUAGAUAUUCAUUGCAGGUACUUCCACGGGUACCCACUGGUCGAUUUUUUUGCCAUCCCUAAUAUUGAAAAGAGAGAAAACAAGAUAAAGGAGAAUCAAAAUAUAUAGGGAAGACAACCAUAAAGGUUAGAAAUCCAAGUAAAAUUAAUUCAAUUAAAUAGAAUAAGAUAAAGCAAUUUAUCUUUACUACGUGCAAAAGAGCAAAAAAAUUGGGGCAGCCAGAGAUACCCCAACUAUGGAUAAACCCUAAUUUAAGAAGUCACUAUAAGAGACUUAUGUUAUAUGGUUCCAUGAAUUAUAACCUUUACAAUAUCAUUUGGUUAUUUUUAGGUCACCUAAUUUUACUAAACAUGUUCAACAUAAGACAUAUAUAUUAUAGAAACUCCAGGGACAAAAUUCACCCUAUCUUUUAGAGGAAAAAAAGUAAGCAAGUUUUAAUUUUUGUUUUAUUUCAAAUUCUAAAACACUAAUAUACAAGCAAAACACAAUGUUGGUCUUUAAAGGUGACACAACAAUGAUUGAAGGAAUAUAUACUUUAUUCUGACUAAUUGAAUCUGAAAUCUUACUACAUAUAUGAGAACAUUAUUUCCAAUAAAUUAACCAAUCUAACGUUGAGAACCUUUCCUUAAAAUGGGUCAUAAAAACCAUGGUACUAACAUGCUGAAUAAAAAUUUAAUAACAGUUCUUGUACAAAGGGAAAACUUACAAAAAAAAAGAAUAUUGUAUGAAUUAUGUUCAAAGUUUGAUCAUUAAAUAAUGAGACUAUAAAACAAAAAGAACAAUAUUCGUCUUACACCAAUAGGAUCCUUUGUGAGUUUAAAUUAAGUGAUGGUUGAAUUAAUAUUUUUUUGGAAAAAAGUAAUAUUAUUAAAAUUGAGUUAGAGUUACUAUAUUUUCAAAAGAAAUUUAAGAGCAAGAAAAUCAACAUAAUUGAGUAAGACAAUCACAAGAGGGUUUGAAACCCAACUAGAGUAAGCUAUUAAACACAUUUAUAUUAAUCCACAGCCAAUAAACUACCUUCAUUGAAUCUGAGUUGAUGUGUUGAUUGAUUUGAAGAUGACAUCGUUCCGCGCUAGACAAAUAAAUCACGUUAUUGCAAGCCAAAUGAUACUUCAGAAUUUUCCGACUUUACUUGUAAAAUGACAAGCCCAAAUGCAUGAGAAAUUGAGUUAUUGGGUCAGGAGAUAAAGCGAUGUUAAAAUCCAGCCAACUAUAAAUCGAUUGUCAGACUAAGUAUGUGAACAUGAAAAUAAAGAAAAGAUGGCAAUAAGUCUCAAAAUGUUCAUUACAAAUACUGCAUAGGUAACCUUCCCUAGAGGAUGGGUAAUGCCCCUUCUAAGUAAAGCUUCCAAAGUGGGCAAUCUAUUUUGGAAAAGACGCCAAGCAAAAGUAGAAACCUUUAAAGGAGGUUUGAAUUCCCAUAAGAGAUUAAGAUGGUUGUGAGUGUGCUCAUCAUGUUGACGAAGCAUGCAAGCUGAUUUGGCAGAAUAAAUGUUAGAUUUAUCACGACUUCACGCCUAUCGAUCAUGAGUAUUGUAAUGUAGAAAACAUUAUUGAAUGUCUUGCAAAAUAUUAGUAAUUGAUUCAUGUUCUCAUGAAAUUUUUUGUCUUUCCCCUUAGUCCAUAUUCCUAAGUCAUUAAUGAGAGUGUCCUUGGACAAAGUGAGAUUAUAAAGCCUUCUAAACUUAGACUUAAGAUUAUUAGUACCUAACCAAUUAUGAUACUAGAAUUUUGUAGUCAUCAUGUCUCAAACUUUUCGCACAACACUGUCCAAAAGCACUAGGAGUUGUCUUUUAGAGAAGUUAAUUUUGAGGCCAGAAUAAUUGAAUUUAGUAAAAUGAUGAUAUAUAAUAAACAAAAAUGUCAUUCAUGAUUAGCUUUGCAAAAGUGGAAAAGGGAUAAAGUUGUGGAGAAUGUUAUAAUUCAUAAUCUUGUUCUCUAUUUCACUAAUGAGAAAUGCUACAAUCUUCUUAGGAAAGGAGGCUAGUUAAAUUUACAUUAUGAAUUUUAUUCUAUUAGAUCUUGCAACAUGGUUUUGUUCUAGUAUUGAUCCAUACUCUUUUAUAUGUACUUAUUGAUAAAUUUAUCCUUGGUCAUGUAUUCAACUACUUUAUAGCAUAAAACGUUCUUGAUUGUUUUUCCUUAUGCAUUUGGAAGACACAUCUCUUGUACCACUUUAAUAUAUCUUCUGCUUCUAAAAAAUUAGAUACUUUCUACUUGGGAAAAUAAUUGAGGGGAGCAAAUUUUUUUUAUAAUUAUUAUCUUUCUUUUAUUUUUUUGAAAAUAGAAAAUAUCUAAUUUUGACUUAAGUUGAAAUCUACAGUCAAAUAAAAGUAACUAUAUGACUGGUAGGGUGUGUUUAAUUUUCCAAUCUCCACCACUCAAAUGACUGGUGUGGAAAUUGCAAUGAAAAUGAAUAGAAGAAGAUGUAUGUAUUGACAGUGUAUGAGUUUUAUAUACUGUUAUUGUAUUAUUAUCAUUGAUUUUUUAUUAUUGUUGACUUUUCAAAAAAGGUAAUCCAAAUGAACAGUGAAUGAUGAAGUGCAUGUGUAUAAAUUUUUACAAUUUCAGUGUCAUUUUACACUCAUCUAUAUAUAUAUAUAUAUAUAUAUAUAUAUAUAUAUAUAUGAGGUAAUGGUUGAAGUUAUGUCGAUCAUUGCUAGCCAUGUCUACUUUAACAAAAACCACAUUGCCUACAUCAUUGCUCAUCCCAAGAAGAACCAAACCAAUUAACUCUCCAAAUAACAAAGUUGUGUUCCAUAAAAAUGAUCAUUAUUUGAAUAAGAUAGUGCCUCAAAAGAAGAAAGCUUCUUUUUGUAUCCAAGCACAAGCACAAGAAGGAGAAGCAUCAGUUCCUUCAUCUCCUAUUGAAUCUCCUUCUUUAAGGCCUACGUUUGUGUUGUUUGGUUCUUCCAUUGUUGAGUAUAGUUAUUUUGAAGGUUGGGGAGCUACUCUUGCUCACUUGUAUGCACGCCAGGUAAUUUUUUCCCCAUAAUUAUGGUUUCUUAUGAAAAAGUGAUUGGGAAGUAAAACUCCACCAGAGUCAAAAUCCAACUUAUUUUCCGUUGUUAUGGACUAAAAAAUAUUUGUUAAUUAUUGAUCAAAAGUAACAUUUUACUUGGUAUGAUAUGAUUAUGUAGAUGUUACAUAUUGGGAAGUAAGUGUAUAUAGCAUGUAUUCGACAAGAUGAUUCGAUACAUUUAUGGUUUGUUAAUUCUCUUUUAGCUACCUAUAUUUACAUCACGGUCUAAAGUUAAAAGGACAUGAAAAAUAGCUUAAGUGACAUGGUUUACCUCUGCUGUCUCACUCCUUCGUGUCACUGCAUGUGCUAGGCGAAAUGAUUGGUUAGAAAAAUAUUUAAGAAUAACAGUUUUAACUUAAAUAAUUUUUUCCAAUUAAUUAUAAGUAAUAUUCUUGAAUGUAAAAGGAAUAAGUUAUUUUAUGUAACAUGUAAUAUUCUUUAAUUUAUGUCACUAACCUUUGAAGUGAGAAAUUCUUUAAAGGAAUAUUAAGUAGUUCUCUAUGUUUUCUUCCUUUGAAAUUGGAAUUUAUGUCAAACUUUGUGGUGGUAUUUUUCUUCAGAAUCUUUUAAUGUUAAAGUUUUGAUCUUUUUAUAUGAUUAUUUUUUUAAAAAUUGUAUAUAUAUUAAUUUCUUUUGUUAUUUGAAUAUAUUGUGAUUAAUUGAAAAGAUAAAUGAUAAUUAAUUGAGUGGAAAUAGAAUAUAAAAGAGUCCCAUUAAUGAAGAAUAAUCUUGAAAAAACAAAUAUGAUUGUCCAAAAAUUAUUUAAAGGUGCUAAUAAGCAAAUUCAAUAAGAAUUAAUAUUAACUUUAAUAAGGUGAAGAGAUAAUUAUGUCAAGUAAUUUAUUGUGUAAUAUGAUGGAGAAUGAAUGAGUUACUAAUGACAUUCAAACAUUGACUUGGCAUAGGUGGAUCUAAUUAUGCGUGGAUAUGCUGGAUGGAAUUCGAGGAAUGCUCUACAGAUUCUGGACAGAGUUUUUCCAAAGGUAUAUAAGAAUGGAGAUUAGUUGUCUCGAUCAUGUUUUUAUUUCUAUCCCGAUUAUUCGAAUGUUGACAAUGAAAGAGAGAAAUGUGAAUAUGAGUGAAGAUAUUAAAGUAUGAAACAAAAUUAUAUAUCAUUUUCCAUAUGUUAAUAUUUGAAUAGUCGAAACAUAAAUAGUGAGAGAAUUAUGGGACAACUAAUCAUUGUCAUAUAUAUACUUUUGUUGAUGUGCUUCCCAUGUGCUAGGGUCUUUAUUUUUUUGUCAUACACAUUUGUUUCCAACACUCUCUCACAUAGUUCCAAACAUAUCGGACAUAAUAUUUUUAUAAACGUGGUCGAACAUGUUGUCCCUUACAUCACAUGUAUCCUCAACACUACCCUACAAAUUCAUGUCUAUCCCACAAUUUCAAAGAUAUUAAUCAACCUCACGACAGAAUUAGCAAAUUGAUUAUAUAUGCUACAAAUCUAGGUUUCAAAUCUAUCUUGCACACCAUAUCUUGAACUAGAUCUAACAAUUUAAAUUAUUCUGAUUUUCACAAAAUAAAAUGUACAAUAAUGAAUCUCUUAAUUAACUCAAUUUGUUGAAUGUACAUAAAGUUUAAUUUUUAAAGCUUUCGGAAAUAUGAUUACUUGAUUUUUGAUCAAAUUGACAUAUAAAGACUAAUUAUUUUUGCUCUUUGAUUUUAUUUAACUCAGAAUGCAACUCAACAACCAUCAUUAGUGAUUGUAUAUUUUGGUGGUAAUGAUGCAACUAAUCCACGACCAGGUGGAAAUGGUCCUCAUGUACCUCUCGAAGAAUACAAAGAAAACAUGAAAAAGAUUGUUAUCCAUCUUCAGGUAAACUUUCACAUUAGACUCUAACACUUUUUUAUAUUCCAUUAUCAUGUGAAUUAAAUCACUCAUCUAUGCUUACCAACUUUUCUAAACUUUUUGUAAAUUAUAUUUAUCACACUGCAAAAUUUGACACAAAUUCAAAUGAUUUUCAGAGUC